Molecule: ribosomal RNA, 494 nt
Filed under: uncultured bacterium
Lineage: Bacteria
Description: partial 16S ribosomal RNA
Rfam family: Bacterial small subunit ribosomal RNA
Source: RNAcentral
GACGAACGCUGGCGGCGUGCUUAACACAUGCAAGUCGAACGGAAAGGCCUGCUUUCCCUUGUGGAUUGCGGGUGCUCGAGUGGCGAACGGGUGAGUAACACGUGAGUGAUCUGCCCCCAACUUGGGUAUAAGCCCGGGAAACUGGGUCUAAUUCCCGAUAGGACUGCAGGGUGGUGCCUGUGGUGGAAAACGAUUUUCUAGUGGUUGGGGAUGAGCUCGCGGCCUAUCAGCUUGUUGGUGGGGUAAUGGCCUACCAAGGCGGCGACGGGUAGCCGGCCUGAGAGGGUGGACGGGCACAUUGGGACUGAGAUACGGCCCAGACUCCUACGGGAGGCAGCAGUGGGGAAUAUUGCACAAUGGGCGGAAGCCUGAUGCAGCGACGCCGCGUGGGGGAUGACGGCCUUCGGGUUGUAAACUCCUUUCGACCGCGAGGAAGCCACCUGGUUGGAAGGGUGGUGACGGUAGUGGUAGAAGAAGCACCGGCUAACUACGUG